This 3583-nucleotide small RNA is filed under the name Pan troglodytes (chimpanzee). RNAcentral's name for it is "retained intron". Lineage: Eukaryota; Metazoa; Chordata; Mammalia; Primates; Hominidae. The record is from RNAcentral.
UUUUUGAAUCUGCGGAGGCGGAGGCGGCGGCGGUGGCGGCGGCGGUGGCGGCGGUGGCAGCGGCGGCGCGGCGACUGAAGCGCGCGAAAAGCUGAGGCGGCAACGUCGGGGACGACUGCGCGGGACGGCUCUGUAGGAAGGAACUUGGUUCCCCCUCCCUCAGCUUCCGCCCCAAAAGAUUCAGAAUGGACAGUUUAGAAGAACCUCAGAAAAAAGUCUUUAAGGCUCGAAAAACGAUGAGAGUGAGUGAUCGUCAGCAACUUGAAGCAGUGUACAAGGUCAAAGAAGAACUGUUGAAAACUGAUGUCAAGCUGUUAAAUGGCAACCAUGAAAAUGGAGAUUUGGACCCAACCUCACCUUUGGAAAACAUGGAUUACAUUAAAGACAAGGAAGAGGUGAAUGGCAUUGAAGAGAUUUGUUUUGAUCCUGAAGGAAGUAAAGCAGAAUGGAAGGAAACACCCUGUAUCCUAAGUGUUAAUGUAAAAAACAAGCAGGAUGAUGAUUUAAAUUGUGAACCUUUGUCUCCCCAUAAUAUAACUCCAGAACCAGUCUCUAAACUGCCUGCUGAACCAGUUUCUGGUGAUCCAGCCCCUGGUGAUCUGGAUGCCGGAGAUCCAGCCUCCGGAGUACUGGCCUCUGGUGAUUCCACCUCUGGUGAUCCCACCUCUAGCGAGCCCUCCUCUAGUGAUGCUGCCUCUGGUGAUGCAACCUCUGGUGAUGCCCCUUCUGGUGAUGUGUCCCCUGGUGAUGCCACCUCUGGUGAUGCCACUGCUGAUGAUCUCUCCUCUGGUGAUCCCACCUCUAGUGAUCCCAUCCCAGGUGAACCGGUCCCUGUUGAACCCAUUUCUGGUGAUUGUGCCGCUGAUGAUAUAGCCUCUAGUGAAAUAACUUCUGUUGAUCUGGCUUCUGGAGCACCAGCUUCCACUGAUCCAGCCUCUGAUGAUCUGGCCUCUGGUGAUCUAUCCUCUAGUGAACUGGCCUCUGAUGAUCUGGCCACUGGUGAACUGGCCUCUGAUGAGCUGACUUCUGAAUCAACCUUUGAUCGUACCUUUGAACCAAAGUCUGUACCACUUUGUGAACCAGUUCCUGAAAUUGACAAUAUAGAACCAAGUAGCAAUAAAGAUGAUGAUUUUCUUGAAAAAAAUGGAGCUGAUGAAAAAUUAGAGCAAAUUCAGAGUAAAGACUCAUUGGAUGAGAAAAAUAAAACUGAUAAUAAUAUUGAUGCUAAUGAAGAAACUCUAGAAACAGAUGAUACAACUAUUUGUUCAGAUCGACCUCCUGAAAAUGAAAAGAAGGUAGAGGAAGAUACUAUCACAGAGCUUGCUCUUGGAGAAGAUGCUAUAUCUAGCAGUAUGGAAAUUGACCAAGGUGAAAAGAAUGAAGAUGAAACUUCUGCAGAUCAUGUAGAAACGAUUAAUGAAAAUGUUAUUGAAGAUGACAAAAGUGAGAAUAUCUUAGAAAAUACAGACUCUAUGGAGACAGAUGAAAUCAUUCCUAUUUUGGAAAAGCUUGCACCUUCUGAGGAUGAACUUACUUGCUUUUCUAAAACAUCUCUCCUUCCAAUCGAUGAGACAAAUCCAGAUUUGGAAGAGAAAAUGGAAAGUUCUUUUGGUUCACCAUCUAAACAAGAAAGUAGUGAGAGUUUGCCAAAAGAAGCCUUUCUGGUCCUCUCUGAUGAAGAGGAUAUUUCGGGUGAAAAAGAUGAGUCUGAAGUUAUAUCGCAAAAUGAAACGUGCUCUCCAGCAGAAGUAGAAAGUAAUGAAAAGGACAACAAACCUAAGGAAGAAGAGCAAGUAAUACAUGAAGAUGAUGAAAGACCUUCUGAGAAAAAUGAAUUUUCUAGACGAAAACGUUCUAAAUCAGAAGACAUGGACAAUGUACAGUCUAAACGUCGUCGAUAUAUGGAAGAAGAAUAUGAGGCAGAAUUUCAAGUAAAGAUUACAGCCAAAGGAGACAUUAACCAGAAACUUCAAAAGGUUAUACAGUGGUUGCUGGAAGAAAAAUUGUGUGCGCUGCAGUGUGCUGUAUUUGAUAAGACUUUGGCAGAAUUGAAAACACGAGUGGAAAAGAUUGAAUGUAACAAGAGGCAUAAAACAGUUCUCACUGAACUACAGGCCAAGAUAGCCAGGUUAACCAAACGCUUUGAAGCAGCCAAAGAAGAUCUUAAGAAAAGACAUGAACAUCCACCCAACCCACCAGUAUCACCAGGAAAAACUGUAAAUGAUGUCAACAGCAAUAAUAACAUGUCUUACAGAAAUGCAGGCACAGUGAGACAGAUGCUGGAGUCCAAAAGAAAUGUAAGCGAGAGUGCACCACCAUCCUUUCAAACUCCUGUGAAUACAGUAUCUUCAACCAAUCUUGUCACUCCUCCAGCAGUUGUCAGUAGUCAACCUAAAUUGCAGACUCCAGUGACUUCGGGUUCCCUCACAGCAACGUCAGUUCUUCCUGCACCCAAUACAGCUACUGUAGUUGCUACUACUCAGGUGCCUAGUGGAAAUCCCCAGCCUACAAUCUCUUUACAGCCUUUGCCAGUGAUUUUGCAUGUACCUGUUGCAGUAUCCUCCCAGCCUCAGCUUCUACAGAGCCAUCCAGGGACUUUGGUGACUAAUCAACCAUCUGGCAAUGUUGAAUUCAUUUCUGUGCAAAGCCCACCUACAGUGAGUGGUCUUACCAAAAAUCCAGUAUCCUUGCCAUCCUUGCCAAAUCCCACUAAACCAAACAACGUUCCUUCUGUGCCCAGUCCUAGUAUUCAAAGGAACCCUACUGCCAGUGCUGCACCAUUGGGAACAACACUUGCUGUGCAGGCUGUUCCAACGGCACACUCUAUUGUACAAGCCACAAGGACUUCUUUACCCACAGUGGGCCCAUCAGGACUCUAUAGUCCAUCAACUAAUCGAGGUCCUAUACAGAUGAAAAUUCCAAUUUCUGCAUUUAGUACUUCGUCUGCUGCAGAACAGAACAGCAAUACCACCCCAAGAAUUGAAAACCAGACAAACAAAACAAUAGAUGCUUCUGUCAGUAAGAAAGCAGCUGAUAGCACAUCACAGAGUGGGAAAGCCACUGGCAGUGAUUCAAGUGGUGUCAUUGAUCUCACAAUGGAUGAUGAAGAGAGUGGAGCUUCACAAGGUACUUCAAUAGUAAUUGUACUAAGCAACGUUUUGAUACCAUUUUUUUUGUCUUAAUACAGUACAGUAUUCUACAAAGACAGAUGUUUACGGCAUUAUGCUUGGUUUAUUUGUGUUCUUUUUGGAAUGGAAGUUUUUUAGAUUAGAAUUUUAAAAUUUGGCCAGGUGCAGUGUCUCACACCUGUAAUCCCAGUGCUUUGGGAGGCCAAGGCAGGAGGAUCGAGGCAAGAGGUCAGGAGUUUGAGACCAGCCCGGGCAAUGCGGUGAAACCCCGUCUCUAUAAAAAAUUUAAAAAUUAGCUGGGUGUGAUGGCAUGUGUCUGUGGUCCCAGCUGCAUGGGAGGCUGAGGCAGGAGGAUAGCUUGAGCCUGGGAGGUUGAGGCUGCCGUGAGCUGUGUUUAUGCCACUGCAUUCCAUCCUGGGUGACAGAAUGAGGCCCUGUCUCAAAAAAAAAAAAAA